This 1113-nucleotide long non-coding RNA is filed under the name Numida meleagris (helmeted guineafowl). Its description in RNAcentral is "lncRNA (ENSNMEG00000001707.1)". Lineage: Eukaryota; Metazoa; Chordata; Aves; Galliformes; Numididae. The record is from RNAcentral.
CUAGCCUUCCCCCAAUUGCUGCCACUUCCACACACCUUUUUUAUGUCUUAAAAUCCUAUUUUGUUAUAUCUCUAACUGUACAACUUCUAAAACAAGUAGUUGAAGUUAUUUUAGAAGUAAUUUUAUUCUCAUGUAGCCUACACAAAGGGAAAUAGGAAAGGAGAGGCUAAUGAAAAAUGGUGUGUAAAUUUCUGAUAAUGUUCAGACGCGUUAAAUAUUCACUUAAGCAUAACCUUUCUGUUUACACUCAUGGAUUCUGUAGUUAAAAAAAAAAAAAAAGCACAUACUGUUGUAUGCAUCCAUUGUUGCUGACUGUCUACCUGAAAGUGCAUCAAAUGCCUCGUCCCAGGAGGCUGUUCUGAAUAGAGUAGAGAGGGAGGGAGGGGCAUGUCAUCAUAGGCAGUUCAGAGCUCUGGAAUGACACCAUGGUCCCUUGAGACUAGAGUACUGACAUCCAACACAAGUCCUUGUUUUUCUGCAAGGCUUUUUGUUAGACAACAGGCAGCACUCUAUGAAGAUUGAUACAGAAGUGUUGGGCUUCGUUUGCUGGAUCAUCAAACGGAUUGAUAUUAUACUCCAGCAGUGGAUGAAGACAAAUGCCAGAUGCAUGCGAUGUGAAUUCUGUAUGCCUGUAGCAAAGAGCAGAGGUGCCCUGCACUCUUUUCUUCUAGAUGGCACUCAGAUCCAGAGUGGUUACAGAGCAGUCAGAGCCAAAGCAGCAGAAAGAUCAUUAGAGAGGAUGGAGCUGGAAUGGCAGAGAGAAGAAAAUGAGGACAAAAUACUUCUGCAGCUUGCCAGGAGAACUGACAGAGUAUACACAACAUAAGAAAUCAGGAAUGUACAUUUCAAGAAGAUCCCAUACCACUGUGGAGAGGAAGGCUACUAUGGAGAGGAAACUUCCUGGCCGCCAUGCAGUGUUAGAAGACUUGCCAGAAUUUCUCUUUGAAGAAGCUUCUAUGGAAUGAUAUCUUCAGAUAGUAUUAUCUUCAAAAUAUCCAAAAUUAUUUGUUCUGAGCAUUUUGAUUAGUUUGUAUAAAAUUGAUUUUGCUACAAAAAUUAAAAAAAAAAAACAAAUCAGCACAAAAGAUAAAUAAGCUGAAAUUAAAACCUGUU